UACGGAGGGUGCAAGCGUUAUCCGGAUUCACUGGGUUUAAAGGGUGCGUAGGCGGACAGGUAAGUCAGUGGUGAAAUCUCUGGGCUUAACUCAGAAACUGCCGUUGAUACUAUUUGUCUUGAAUAUCUUGGAGGUAAGCGGAAUAUGUCAUGUAGCGGUGAAAUGCUUAGAUAUGGCAUAGAACACCGAUAGCGAAGGCAGCUUACUACAGGAAGAUUGACGCUGAGGCACGAAAGCGUGGGGAGCAAACAGG
Molecule: ribosomal RNA, 253 nt
Filed under: uncultured bacterium
Lineage: Bacteria
Description: partial 16S ribosomal RNA
Rfam family: Bacterial small subunit ribosomal RNA
Source: RNAcentral